RNAcentral lists this ribosomal RNA (465 nucleotides) under uncultured bacterium. RNAcentral describes it as "partial 16S ribosomal RNA". It matches the Rfam family "Bacterial small subunit ribosomal RNA", at positions 28 to 507 of the family's 1533-position model. The record is from RNAcentral.
GACGAACGCUGGCGGCGUGCUUAACACAUGCAAGUCGCACGGCAAGGCCCCUUUGGGGGUCCUCGCGUGGCGAACGGGGGAGUAACACGUAGGUAACCUGCCCUUGCCUUCGGGAUACCAUCAGGUAACUGGGGCUAAUACCGGCUAGGAAUCCUUGCUGCACGGUGGGGGCUGGCAAGCUUCGGCGGGUGUGGAUGGACUCGCGGCGGAUCUGCUUGUUGGUGGGGUAGUGGCUUACCAAGGCGUUGACGGGUAGCCGGCCCGAGAGGGCGACCGGACACACGGGGACUGAGAUACGGCCCAGAAGCCGACGGGAGGCAGCAGUGGGGAAUAUUGCACAAUGGGCGGAAGCUUGAUGCAGCAACGCCGCGUGCGGGAUUACGGCCUUCGGGUUGUGAGCCGCUUUCAUGAGGGGCGAAGCUGGUGGUGACGGUACCUGCAGAAGAAGCACCGGCUAAUUACGUG